Molecule: transfer RNA, 73 nt
Filed under: Bos taurus (domestic cattle)
Lineage: Eukaryota; Metazoa; Chordata; Mammalia; Artiodactyla; Bovidae
Also listed under: 3 other names
Rfam family: tRNA
About the family: Transfer RNA (tRNA) molecules are approximately 80 nucleotides in length. Their secondary structure includes four short double-helical elements and three loops (D, anti-codon, and T loops). Further hydrogen bonds mediate the characteristic L-shaped molecular structure. tRNAs have two regions of fundamental functional importance: the anti-codon, which is responsible for specific mRNA codon recognition, and the 3' end, to which the tRNAs corresponding amino acid is attached (by aminoacyl-tRNA synthetases). tRNAs cope with the degeneracy of the genetic code in two manners: having more than one tRNA (with a specific anti-codon) for a particular amino acid; and 'wobble' base-pairing, i.e. permitting non-standard base-pairing at the 3rd anti-codon position.
Source: Rfam by way of RNAcentral
UCCCUGGUGGUCCAGUUCCUAAGACUUUGCGCUCCCAAUGCAGGGGUCCCAGGUUCAAUCCCUGGUUAGGGGA